AUACGGAGGGUGCAAGCGUUGUUCGGAAUUAUUGGGCGUAAAGAGCAUGUAGGCGGACUAUUAAGUCUGGUGUGAAAGCCCGGGGCUCAACCCCGGAAGUGCAUUGGAUACUGGUAGUCUUGAGUAUGGGAGAGGAAAGUGGAAUUCCGAGUGUAGGAGUGAAAUCCGUAGAUAUUCGGAGGACCACCAGUGGCGAAGGCGGCUUUCUGGACCAAUACUGACGCUGAGAUGCGAAAGCGUGGGGAGCGAACAGGAUUAGAAACCCUAGUAGUCC
This 274-nucleotide ribosomal RNA is filed under the name uncultured bacterium. RNAcentral's name for it is "partial 16S ribosomal RNA". It matches the Rfam family "Bacterial small subunit ribosomal RNA", at positions 523 to 796 of the family's 1533-position model. The record is from RNAcentral.